RNAcentral lists this ribosomal RNA (1893 nucleotides) under Triticum aestivum (bread wheat). RNAcentral's name for it is "partial small subunit ribosomal RNA". The record is from RNAcentral. Lineage: Eukaryota; Viridiplantae; Streptophyta; Magnoliopsida; Poales; Poaceae.
UACCGCUCGGUGUGGCCGUAGUGACGGUGGCGCCGCCACUGCUUGGACGCGUUACGGUAGGAUUUGCCGUUUGUGCCCUGAGGCGGCGGCUGCCCUUGCGGCCUCGUGGCGCUAAUGCGGCAUUAGUGAUACUUAGAGCUCGCCUCUUUAGGUGGCGUCUCCUCUCUCCCCUUUUACGUCCCUCCUUACAGUCGCGCCCCUCCUCGUAAUGGAAGUUCGACGCCCGUGAGGCCGCAUCUGAGAGACCAGGCCGCUCGGAGUGGCUGCCGGCGCUUACGGCAGCUGAGAAGGCGGAGGCGGCGGAGGAGGAGGAUAGCCGAAGAGGAGGUUAGCUUACUUGACGACGCCUACCACCCAACCCACUCAUCUCUUCACCCCCCUCAUUUACCUUGGCGCGUGCUACCCCCACACUUCAUACGGCACGAUCUGCGGACAGUAGGAGUUACCACCGUCAAGGGCCUCAGGAGUUGCCUCCGUCAAGGUCGAGUCUGGAGCUGCCGUCGCGGGCAUCUGGAGUUCGCCUAGGACGGCGAGUGGGGCGUGCCACGACACGAGGUGCUGUUCGGCUGCGCGGCGAGACACGGAAGACGGUACACGCCAGGACUAGACUGGCGGUGCCCGGGGCGCACCGUUAGUCCGGAGCGACCGCGCGCCUAGGCCGGCAACGGAAGGGACGACACGCGGUGAGGGGCGGCCAGCGACGUAGGGGGAUGUCUCAGUCUCGUGCUGACGCGGAGGGGAACAGAGGGCGACCGCCAGCGUGAGGAAGGUCCGAGGCCGAAGGCCGCGUGCGGCGACGCCCGGCCAAGCCGCUUCUCGCCCGGCUGCUCUCGCGGACCCUCCCACAGCGCCUCCGUAGUUUCGUCAUCGAAGAGUUGGCGCCCCUCUGUAGAGCUGCCGCUGGAGCUAAACGAUCGUACAGGCUCGUCCUCCCAGGACCUGUAGGGACGUUCGACCGAGUAGGUCGACCAACAGAAGGAGCCGCUCGCGCGGUAGAGGUACCAGGAAGCCCGCGCCGCGAGCAGUCGCUUGACGAGUGGUAGGGACGCCGGUACCGCAGGGAGCGGGUCGUGCCGCGAGCAUCCGCUCGAUGCGCGACAGGGACUCCGGCGUCGAAGGCAGCGGGCCGCUCCGCGAGCACCCGCUCGACACCCGGGAGGGAGGAGCCGCCAGUGGAAGCACCGGGUCAAACGGCGCAAACGGCGCAGGGACUCGAAGCAGGGUGUGUAAUUCAACCGAAGACAACAACCUUCUUCUGAACUAAAGCCGGACAGUAGCACGGAUGCCUACCAACGUCACUCCGUAAACUCCGACCCGCGGGAUAGAAGUAUGGUUACCCACUAACUUCACUCCGUAAACUCCAACCCACAGGACAGUAGCACGGUCACCCACCAACAUGAUUCUGUAACACCCGACCCACAGGUCAGUAGCAUGGUUGCCUACCGACGUAACUCCGACCCACAGGACAGUAGCAUGGUUACCUACCGACGUGACUCCGUAAACCUCGACCCACAGGAGAGUAGCUAACCCUCUUCUGUCAACCCAGUCUCUUUUUCCUUCUUGCGUUACCUUUGUUCUACCGAAUGUAAACCCCCUAGAUUAAGGAGUAACCAAGGCCGUUCUUAACCACUUCUUCGGUAGUUUCUUUCAGGCCUCGCCUGCUAAAAUUAAUUCUCUGCCUCGCCGGCCAAAACAAACUAACGACCCAAAAAUUCCCUUUUCCUCCCGUCGUCGCCCCCGGCAACCUACUCGCGCCUCGCGCCUCGUGCCUACCCUCGUAAGAGCCCCUCGUCCGUUCGGGGCACGCAAGCCCUCUCCUAACCUCCAACGCAGUAACAUCCAAAAAAAAGACCCUAGCUAACAUACAACGCCCUAUUCACGCCUCCGCCUACU